UACACACACACACACAAGUAAA
Molecule: microRNA, 22 nt
Filed under: Mus musculus (house mouse)
Lineage: Eukaryota; Metazoa; Chordata; Mammalia; Rodentia; Muridae
Description: mmu-miR-669c-3p
Gene: mmu-miR-669c-3p
Source: miRBase by way of RNAcentral